GACGAACGCUGGCGGCGUGCUUAACACAUGCAAGUCGAACGGAAAGGCCCUGCUUUUGUGGGGUUCUCGUUUGGCGAACGGGUGAGUAACACGUGAGUAACCUGCCCCUGACUUUGGGAUAACUUCACGAAACUGGGGCUAAUACCGGAUAGGAGCUCCUGCUGCAUGGUGGGGGUUGGAAAGUUUCGGCGGUUGGGGAUGGACUCGCGGCUUAUCAGCUUGUUGGUGGGGUAGUGGCUUACCAAGGCUUUGACGGGUAGCCGGCCUGAGAGGGUGACCGGCCACAUUGGGACUGAGAUACGGACCAGACUCCUACGGGAGGCAGCAGUGGGGAAUAUUGCGCAAUGGGCGGAAGCCUGAUGCAGCAGCGCCGCGUGCGGGAUGACGGCCUUCGGGUUGUAAACCGCUUUCGCCUGUGACGAAGCGUGAGUGACGGUAAUGGGUAAAGAAGCACCGGCUAACUACGUG
RNAcentral lists this ribosomal RNA (468 nucleotides) under uncultured bacterium. RNAcentral describes it as "partial 16S ribosomal RNA". It matches the Rfam family "Bacterial small subunit ribosomal RNA", at positions 28 to 507 of the family's 1533-position model. The record is from RNAcentral.